GGGGGAAGCGGUGUGAAGCGACACAUUUUUUGUUUUACCUAUUUUACAUAAAAAAAAACCUAUUUUGCAUCUAUACGGCUGUACCAUUCAUCCCUUUUCCAUUCUCGUUCUCCUCCCGUUCCUUUUUCUCUGUUUAGAUCCUGCAAGGGACGAGUACGGGGCGAGAAGGGGGAUUUGCGGCAGAGUGUGGUGGUUGCAGGCUCUCAGCUGCGGCAGGUCCUCCAGCUCGAGUAGUGCCUGCUGCUCGCCGCCACCGCCGACUUGAUGGCCGUGGAGCUCGGCCCCCUUAACCUGAGAGACAGUCCACAUGUGGAGGCAAGUUGAGGGCUUCCUAGUUGCUACUACUGUCAGCUUCAACCUAUGUAAUGUGCUACAACUUUGCAUCAUUCCUACUUCAUGCACACCGACUGAUUCUUCAUAGGUGAUAGGCAACUCGGAUGGAUGGCUGGGUGUGACUUCGUCGAGCAUUGAGUCGAACAUCAAGUUGCAUUUUUCAUCGAUUCUGAUCUUUUCCCAGCGUUGUGUUGCCCUCUAUAGAAACUUCUUUUAUUGAUGUGUGCCGAGUAGCAGAUUUGGCUGGCUUGAAUUUUGGGUGUGUGCUGGGCAUGGCCGAAAUUUCGCUGGCUUGAAGUUUUGGAUGCGUGCUGGGUAUGGCUGGCUGGGUGCCUUUUUAUUUGUGCCUGUCUUGGCCGACUACGUGUAAACUUCAGGUUGAGUCCGUAUGGAAUUAUGUAUGCAGUCUGGUAUUGGUGCACGUGAGUUUCCAUAUGGGCUAUUUGCCUGAUUUGGAGAUUCAUGGGCAUGUUUUUUCUAAGGAAAGACUUGCCUACGUGAUCUCUUUUUUUACGUGUUCAAGUUGGACUUUGUUCAACGUGAUUGGCCGGAGGCUGUUUUUUUCUACGUGAUUUACGUGUUCAAGUUGGACUUUGUUCAACGUGAUUGGCCGGAGGCUGUUCGAAGGCUAUUUUUUUCUACGUGAUUGGCCGGAGGCUGAUUGAUUGGUCACGUCCAUGCCAAGUGCUAACACGAACGUGGGUUCAUCUUAGGCGUGUCUCUUUUUCGCGGGAGUACCUUAGACGUGUCAGAUGUAAAAAGUUGUACAUGUUAUCAUUGUACGUAACUUUUACAUAUUUUUAAUCUCAGCCAUUGUUGUAUAAAUCAAUGGCUAAUAUAUUUUUAGCCUAUGAGGAUAAAUGUGGUGGCUUAAUUGUCUCUUGUUUUAAUUAUAUAAUAGAUAGAUUGUUGUUAGCUUAUAUUGGAAAAUUAAAUACUUUUAAGACCAUUCAAGAAGGUCUAUAUUAUUUGAAGUUCUCUACUGGCUCUGUUGAACUGAAGAGGACACACGUUAGGUGAAUGUCUCAAUGUAUUCAAAAUUUACAACAUGACAUGCAUGGUUCUAAUAGUGCUGACCAACACUUGUUAUCUAAUAGGUGUCCUUAUUGGUAGAUGUUAAGUAUGCUUUCUCUACCUCAGUAAAUGGAAUAGUCCUUAGAUUCACUGAAUAAGCUACUAAUCAAUAUAUAUAUUUUGGAUAUGAUUCAUUAGUUCAUAAAUAUUUAAGGAUAGAGUCCCAUACUUGUCACGAAGUUCCCAAGUUUCCGAUAUUCUAAAUUUGUAUAUGUUCUUGUGGGGCUGGUUGAGUUGAGGUAACAAUGAUCAAUCUAUUAGAUAUUAUUAGUAAAUAAAAGAAGAGCUUGUAAUGUUAUUGGACUUACCAUUGAACUUCUGCACUAUUGUGGAGGUUACAAUAAGGACAGUUUGGUUGUUGCUUACAUCCUAAUUUCCCCAUAAUGUCAAUAUGAUUUUAUUACCCCUAAAGAGUAUAAGCAGAAAAAACUAAUGCUAAUAGCAAUGGUAGAAGUCCAAUUAAUAUUUUAAGAAUGGGUAUGCAUGAUGCACUUACUUUGGUAUAUAAUUUCAAUCUGGCAGAAAUAUAAAGGUUAUAGUUAUUUCUUCUUAUUCUUGAUUCCACAGGCUUCAUUUGGGGAGUAACCAAUGACAUUUAUUGGAGAUUAAUUAGUUCACAGUAAAGAUUAAUUACUUGAAAAAUCUUAUUUACAACUACAAAAUAUAGACAUACCUGAGCAAUGUUUAUCUUUCUUGGUCUGUUCCUAUAAUAUGUCUUUGCUAGCAAUCUCGAAGUAGUAAUGCGGAUAACCUUAUGCUUAUCUUUUCACCUUCAAAUUGUUAAAUGCAUAAAUAGAUUUGUCAUUUAUCUUUGAUUUCUACGUGUCCAUCAAACCUCCGAGAUGGUAGCAUGAAUUGUUUGGCCCUAUAAGAACAGUCAUAAUAUACUUAGUGAUUGUUGUUUUACUUUUAAAAUGAUGGAACAAUCUGAAAUUAGAUAUGUUAUGAAAUAACCUUUUAUCCAUCUAGAUCAUAUUGAGGCUCAUAAGCUCGUGUCGGUUAUACAUUCCAAUUUUGCUUCCUUGUUGUGACGUCACUAUGCUUCUUGUAUGACAAUGUUUUCUCUGCAAAAAAGUUAGAAAUUUGUUAGUCAAUUGAUAAUAUAUGUUCAAAGAUUGUAUCUAGAAUAAUAACUACACACCGUUAUGAUUCAGGUGAUAGGCAACUCGGAUGGAUGGCUGGGUGUGACUUCGUCGAGCAUUGAGUCGAACAUCAAGUUGCAUUUUUCAUCGAUUCUGAUCUUUUCCCAAAAUUGUGUUGCCCUCUAUAGAAACUUCUUUUAUUGAUGUGUGCCGAGUAGCAGAUUUGGCUGGCUUGAAUUUUGGGUGUGUGCUGGGCAUGGCCUAAAUUUGGCUGGCUUGAAGUUUUGGAUGCGUGCUGGGUAUGGCUGGCUGGGUGCCUUUAUAUUUGUGCCUGUCUUGGCCGACUACGUGUAAACUUCAGGUUGAGUCUGUAUGGAAUUAUGUAUGCAGUCUGGUAUUGGUGCACGUGAGUUUCCAUAUGGGCUAUUUGCCUGAUUUGGAGAUUCAUGGGCAUGUUUUUUCUAAGGAAAGACUUGCCUACGUGA
Triticum dicoccoides is the source of this 2974-nucleotide long non-coding RNA. RefSeq lists it as uncharacterized. NCBI's taxonomy places the organism in Eukaryota, Viridiplantae, Streptophyta, Magnoliopsida, Poales, Poaceae. The transcript is spliced from 3 exons. The record is from RefSeq and is a predicted model, not a curated record.